This 466-nucleotide ribosomal RNA is filed under the name uncultured bacterium. RNAcentral describes it as "partial 16S ribosomal RNA". It matches the Rfam family "Bacterial small subunit ribosomal RNA", at positions 30 to 507 of the family's 1533-position model. The record is from RNAcentral.
CGAACGCUGGCGGCGUGCUUAACACAUGCAAGUUGAACGGCAAGGCCCUGCUUUUGUGGGGUGCUCGAGUGGCGAACGGGUGAGUAACACGUGAGUAACCUGCCCUUGACUUUGGGAUAACUUCAGGAAACUGGGGCUAAUACCGGAUAGGAGCUCCUGCUGCAUGGUGGGGGUUGGAAAGUUUCGGCGGUUGGGGAUGGACUCGCGGCUUAUCAGCUUGUUGGUGGGGUAGUGGCUUACCAAGGCUUUGACGGGUAGCCGGCCUGAGAGGGUGACCGGCCACAUUGGGACUGAGAUACGGCCCAGACUCCUACGGGAGGCAGCAGUGGGGAAUAUUGCACAAUGGGCGGAAGCCUGAUGCAGCAACGCCGCGUGCGGGAUGACGGCCUUCGGGUUGUAAACCGCUUUCGCCUGUGACGAAGCGUGAGUGACGGUAAUGGGUAAAGAAGCACCGGCUAACUACGUG